RNAcentral lists this transfer RNA (65 nucleotides) under Notonecta montandoni. RNAcentral's name for it is "tRNA-Pro". Lineage: Eukaryota; Metazoa; Arthropoda; Insecta; Hemiptera; Notonectidae. The record is from RNAcentral.
CAGCAGGUAGUUUAAAUAAAAUAUUAAUUUUGGAGAUUAAAGAAGGAGGUAUACUCUUCUGCUGA